AAUAACAACAAAGUUGUCAUAAUAAAAAUACAUAAAUAAAAGCUGAGGAAUUUAUGCCACAAUAACAACGGGGCAGCCCAAGCGGCAGCGGCAGCAGCAGCAGCAGCAGCAACAGCAACAGCGGAAGCAGCAGCACCACCGGAAGUAGUUCCAGAACAAGUUGGAAAUCUGGACAUAUUUGUGAUUCGGUGCGUUACUGCUGUUGCCUGAUUUCCAAGGCUCAUACGAUCGGAAUUUAUACUCUCUCUGCAUAAGCGCACCAUCAGAAGUAAAGUGGGAUUUCAAAAUGCUAAACACUAUUGUUUUAAACGCCGAUAUUCCUUUACUGAUGAAAAUUCUCAUAUGUCAGUGGGGAUCUGACACACUUAGGCCGGCUUCGGCUCUGGCUCGUCUUUGGCUCCUCUUUGGCUCGUUGUGGUAAAAACUGACGGCAAGGCGCCGAAGGUGUGACCACCAGAAAGCCAGACAGACGACAGGCACAUAUUUCAGAGCCGGGCAGGGCAUCGCUUACUUGGCCAUUGGCCUAAUGAGAAAUUAUGGCCGCAUCUACUCGUACGAGAAGCUCGGGCACUCCGGACGUAUGGCCCGGCCCGGCCCGGCUCGGCCUACACUUUGCGGCUGCUGGCCAAUGCCAAUCUGUCCCUGCCCAGCCCUGUCCUGCCCUGCCCUGUUGUCUGCCCUGCCAUGCCCUGCCCUGUAGUCUGCUCUAAUUAUGCUAACCACUUGCGCAAACUUGGACUUGGGGACAGCGGCCCGAAGAAGUUUCCGAGCUCUGACGGGGGCCACAUCAAAGCAAAAGAUUUAAUUAAAAAUUUGAUAACUUGGUCGCUCUGCGCUGCUGGCCAUCAUCUGCAGAUUCCAUCAUCAGAAAUUUAAUCAAGACUAAAAGUUGGACCAGGCCAGAGCCAGAGCCAGUCCCCACUCGGAUAAUGAGAAUCUACCCAUACGUAAGUAAUUUGCAUAUAUCAAAUACGUAUAAUCGCCGGUGUUCUUAUAGCCUCCUCAGAGGUAGGCCAAAAAAAAGUUCCAAAAUAAAUUGUUUACUGUUACGGAAAUGUAA
This is a long non-coding RNA of Drosophila pseudoobscura, 1060 nucleotides long. RefSeq lists it as uncharacterized. The transcript has 3 exons. Lineage: Eukaryota; Metazoa; Arthropoda; Insecta; Diptera; Drosophilidae. The record is from RefSeq and is a predicted model, not a curated record.